Molecule: ribosomal RNA, 515 nt
Filed under: uncultured bacterium
Lineage: Bacteria
Description: bacterial SSU rRNA
Rfam family: Bacterial small subunit ribosomal RNA
Source: RNAcentral
GAUCAUGGCUACAGAACGAACGCUGGCGGCGCGUUUAAGCAUGCAAGUCGAGCGGCAAGGGCCUUCGGGCCCCUAGAGCGGCGGACGGGUGAGUAACACGUGGACAAUCUGCCCCCCGGCCCGGGAUAGCCCAGGGAAACCUGGAGUUAAUACCGGAUGAGACGGGACCCGCGAUGGCGGGAUCCGGGAAAGGCGCUGCGGCGCCGCCGGGGGAUGAGUCUGCGUCCCAUUAGCUAGACGGCGGGGUAACGGCCCACCGUGGCGACGAUGGGUAGCCGGCCUGAGAGGGUGGACGGCCACAUUGGAACUGAGACACGGUCCAGACUCCUACGGGAGGCAGCAGCUAAGAAUCUUCCGCAAUGGGCGAAAGCCUGACGGAAGCGACGCCGCGUGAACGAAGAAGGCCGUGAGGUUGUAAAGUUCUUUUCGGGAGGGGGAACAACCGUGGCAGGGAAUGGCCGCGGGAUGACGUGAAUCCCGGAAUAAGCCCCGGCUAACUACGUGCCAGCCGCCGC